Molecule: ribosomal RNA, 451 nt
Filed under: uncultured Alteromonas sp.
Lineage: Bacteria; Pseudomonadati; Pseudomonadota; Gammaproteobacteria; Alteromonadales; Alteromonadaceae
Description: bacterial SSU rRNA
Rfam family: Bacterial small subunit ribosomal RNA
Source: RNAcentral
UGUGCUUGCACAUCGCUGACGAGUGGCGGACGGGUGAGUAAUGGUUGGGAACUUGCCUUUGCGAGGGGGAUAACAGUUGGAAACGACUGCUAAUACCGCAUAAUGUCUACGGACCAAACGGGGCUUCGGCUCCGGCGCAAAGAGAGGCCCAAGUGAUAUUAGCUAGUUGGUGAGGUAAAGGCUCACCAAGGCAACGAUCUCUAUCUGUUCUGAGAGGAAGAUCAGCCACACUGGGACUGACACACGGCCCACACUCCUACGGGAGGCAGCAGUGGGGAAUAUUGCACAGUGGGGGAAACCCUGAUGCACCCAUGCCGCGUGUGUGAAGAAGGCCUUCGGGUUGUAAAGCACUUUCAGUUGUGAGGAAAGGUUGGUAGUUAAUACCUGCCAGCUGUGACGUUAACAACAGAAGAAGCACCGGCUAACUCCGUGCCAGCAGCCGCGGUAAUAC